GAGGUUCAUAGGUUGCAGCGAGAUUUCUAAUUUUACUGUGAGCGGUUCGAUUCCGUUUGUGUCUCU
RNAcentral lists this transfer RNA (66 nucleotides) under Bankia setacea. Its description in RNAcentral is "tRNA-Ser". The record is from RNAcentral. Lineage: Eukaryota; Metazoa; Mollusca; Bivalvia; Myida; Teredinidae.